GUUCCCAAGGAUGUUUCCUUGACCAUGCUAAUACUGAUUAGUUGAUGAGUAUUUUUCUCAAGUUGCUGAGGGAACU
Molecule: small nucleolar RNA, 76 nt
Organism: Nymphaea colorata (pocket water lily)
Lineage: Eukaryota; Viridiplantae; Streptophyta; Magnoliopsida; Nymphaeales; Nymphaeaceae
Product: small nucleolar RNA snoR53Y
Exons: 1
Source: RefSeq, a predicted model, not a curated record